This is a long non-coding RNA of Olea europaea var. sylvestris, 280 nucleotides long. RefSeq lists it as uncharacterized. The record is from RefSeq and is a predicted model, not a curated record. The transcript is spliced from 3 exons. NCBI's taxonomy places the organism in Eukaryota, Viridiplantae, Streptophyta, Magnoliopsida, Lamiales, Oleaceae.
GAAAAAGGAAAAGAAGAAGGGAAAAAGAAAAGGAAAGGAGGGAUAUUUGCACGAAUUGGAGCUCAAGUGUGGGGAUUUAUUCAUUUCAAAUUUUCAGCAAGGAGGUAACGAGGCGAUUGGAAACGUCUAUCAGCCUAUCUAGCUUGUAGCUCAUACCUUGUGAGUGGAAAAAACUUAUUUUUCAGAAAUAAGUCUUCAUUAAAUUUUAAAGUUAUUUAUUGUAUAAAGUUGACUUCAUAGCAUGAUUUUUAGAAUAAAUUGGAUUUUAUUAACAAUUGCU